AAGGUGUUGUGAUCCUUACAUGUCUAGUUCAGAUGACAAGGGACUGCUUAGUAUUGCGUGAGCAAUUGUGGGGUCAAAGGCCCCCCUUGAGGGCUAGAUCCAAUAGGGGAAAGAGUAGCCGAACAUAAGGGUAGGCUAGUGAGGUGAAGGCUGUCAUAGUCUCUGACUGCAUAUAGCCUUAGAAAAAAUAUGAAAAAAAAAAAAAAAAAAAAAACCAUGCAACUCAACUGCUGACACGACCCAGGCUAUAUAAGAAUUGCUUCGACAUUGCAAUUCGCCAGCUGGCGCGUUUCUCGUGGAAGACUCCAAGCACAACAUCCGCCGACAUCUAACGACGUAUUUUCCCGCAUUGAGAUAUUUUCUCUCCAGACGUGACGAGACCGACCUCUGAGAAGCUUAGAACUUUUUCAACAUCUACUAAGGAUUGUUCCGGAAAGGAUAGCACAAGACGUAUAAAAUGGGUGGAGUUGUGGCGUAUUUUGGUCUGCAGGCUAGGAUCCCGUCCAGGCGUCAAGAGCCGGCCGGGCUUAUACAAGGUACGCUUGCCUCUUUGCCUUACGAAAUAUCCAUGAUCCACACCAUAUCCGCCCUCGAAGUUCCGGAUAGUAGCUCAAAAUACAACUUGAAGCUUAUACAGAAUGCCAACUGAACACGCUGUUUAUAUGGAUUGAAUAAGAUGGACAGCUCUAUACAAUGAGACCUAUGCUUAUCAUGGCAGACGAACACAACCUUGUUCGCAAGGACUCUUCAUCCCUCUGCCCAUGCAACUAAAGCAGCGAAUGCACUUUAAUUUCCGUCUGUCAGAAAUUCUUUCGAUUUGCCGGUCAUUUCUCUUCAAUUGCAAAGAUCUUUCACAGAUUCUCCAUAAACCCAAUCCGCUGUGACUCUCAAGCUGGUCUUCCGCCCAUGGCAACUUGGCCAGAUGGCAAAGUCGCUAGCAACUCAGCAAAUUCAGAUUUAGUGUGUGAGAAGUUGUCAUCGAAUGAACCAGGCUGAGCAUCCCAGUCCAUUGUCAGCGGUCUUUCUCGUCUAGUCCUGGCUUCCUACUUCUCACGGGGGAAUCGCAAGUACGACUCAGGCAAUAUGUUAUUGGUUUCAUGGUUUAAUUGAAAUAUUUAGCACCAGAUCUAAUAAAGACAGUAAGUAUCACUUGCAUGUUCUAAUAUUAUGUUCUAAGGUUACCUGUACUCUCUAAUUAGAGAUAUCAAAUAUAAAAAGGGGAGCAUCGCCCUUUCAAUUCUGAUGUUGGAAUUAUUUGCAUCAUCAUCAUCAUCAUCAUCAUCAUCCCGCCUCAACUAAAUACAACAAUCAAACCUUCUAUAGAUCGUCUUUGAUUUCCCAAGUUCGCUUUACCAGCACAAUGAAGAUCAACGCUGCCUCCCUAUUCCUCACUCUGGUGGCUCUAACUGUCGCUUCUCCUCUGGCUGAGUCUAGCAAUGAUGCUACUAUUGCGGAGUCUAGCGGUGAUUCUGCUAUUGGGGAUUCAUGCUCACGGGCUGGACAAGUCGGAUGUAUCAACCAAGGGCGACCACGCAUUAUCGUCUGUGUAAACCGUGGAAGUGGUCUGAAAUGGGAAGUCCAAGCAUAUUGUCCCUCCGGGCAGUUUUGCGAGUGGAAGUCGAGAGAAAACUGGGCUUGGUGUGGGUGAUGGCAAUCAUGAUGAUUGGUGAAGAAGAAUACGUGAUGGUUCCAGACUUGUUAUACUUUGGAAAAACAAAUGGGGUGAUGUUUGUUGGAGUAGAAAUUUCUCUUUUCCUCUUCUCUUCGUUGUGUAUGUGGUGGAUUAUUCAUUAUUCAGCUCUGGCAUUUCUACAGUUUUGUCUCACGUUUACACUUAUUUUUAUUCAGCCUUUUCCGGCUUAAUCUGUAGCUAGCUACAACGGUAUAAACGAAAGGAAUUCAACAUUCAAACAGAAUAGCGUUCAAUUCAAUCUCCAGCUAGAGCUCAGAUCUCCUUUUUAACAGUAAGAGAAUUCCCUUGGCUUGAUAUAACUGUGGAAUUACUAUCCAUUCUAAUACAAACCAUAUGAAUAUUACCACCUUAAUAUUCACAGGUAAAAUGCUGAGCGGUAGAAUAGUCAGCGUUGCGUGGAAAUCAAUCCUCUUUAUUUGCACGCCCGGCUCUGCUGGCUCCAUGAUGAGUAGACCCAAGCUGGCCCCUGGAAAAUGAUAUACCAAAUCCAACCCUUCAAGAGGUGGAAUGGGGCAUACGAAGACAUAGCACAUGUGCUUCUUGAGAGAAUGGGCUCUAGCUUUAACACCAACAUAGUGGUGGUGGUUGUUACAUCUUUAUUUUAAAUAUCCUAUUCUAAUCCAAUUUAGGGUUAUUUCUAUAUCAAUAUCAAUAUAUUACUUCCAAAUACUCUAGUUUGAAAAAACUCUAUCAAAGUUACAGACUCUUUAUAAUAUUUUUCUACUUCGUUACUUAAACGUACUUUGUAAGUGCGCCCACAGCGACUUCGAAGAUGACUUCGAAGAUGACUUUUCAAAAAAUGCAAUAUUAUUCAUAUUCGCUGAUAAGCUGCAACUAAUAAUAAGUCAUACUACUUCAUUAUUAAUAUGUAAAUAUGCUGUGCCUGAUACGAGCAUUGAGAGGAGAGCUUUAGGGCUGGUGAAUAGGAAAUCUAGGGGUA
This 2633-nucleotide small RNA is filed under the name Histoplasma capsulatum var. duboisii H88. RNAcentral's name for it is "Histoplasma capsulatum H88 hypothetical RNA". Lineage: Eukaryota; Fungi; Ascomycota; Eurotiomycetes; Onygenales; Ajellomycetaceae. The record is from RNAcentral.